GCGGAUGUAGCCAAGUGGAUCAAGGCAGUAGUUGUGAAUCCACCAUGCAUGUGCGGGUUCCAUUCCCAUCAUCCUCA
Eragrostis curvula (weeping love grass) is the source of this 77-nucleotide non-coding RNA. The record is from the annotation of a GenBank genome assembly. NCBI's taxonomy places the organism in Eukaryota, Viridiplantae, Streptophyta, Magnoliopsida, Poales, Poaceae.